Molecule: long non-coding RNA, 940 nt
Organism: Leptinotarsa decemlineata (Colorado potato beetle)
Lineage: Eukaryota; Metazoa; Arthropoda; Insecta; Coleoptera; Chrysomelidae
Gene: Smr
Source: RefSeq, a predicted model, not a curated record
CCCUUGUUCUCGGUAAGAUAGACCAUCCCGGACCUGUUUUCGUGCGAUUCACGUUAAACCUAAACCAAGAUGUCGAAUAUGGCGCUAUAGCAGUUGAUUUAAUAUAGAAAUUGUAUUUUCUAGCCUCUAAAUCAGUGAAAAGUUCGGGAUUUACAAUUUUUUAAACGUGUUUUUCGUGAGGAAAUUAGUAACGUAGUGUGAUUGAUCGAAACGACGCUAACAGUGGAAAUAACGGUUCCAAAAUACCACGUUUUUAACGUUUAACCUUUUCAAUUCCCAGUAAAUACUCCUAAAUUCGGGAUAAAAAAUAUUUGGUUGCGGAUUCCGAGUCCCAGUGAACCAACAGAAUACUUUCGACGUGGCAGAAUCACGAUUUUCACUCUCCCUCGAGAAUUAGGCCUGUACCUUCUUGAAAUACAUUUGGGUCCAUCUCUAAAUCAAUAUGUGUAUAAAGUAGGGCCAUUUGAAUUACGUUUCAUUAACCCCGAUGACCUUCCUCCUCGGAAUAAACGUAAACAUUGAAAAAGAAAACAAAUCAUCAUGAUCGAAGAACAAUAAUGUGGCUGCUGCAAAGUGAUGACGCUGUGAGUUAUUUGUAGGAAUUGUGCUUAAAUGUGUAUGCUAUGGAAAUUCAUUCCAUGAGGAUUGAUCAUGGGGCAGUUCAAACUAAUACAAUGUCGUAUCCUCAAAGACAAACUCAAAAUCACAGGUAAGCCAAACAUUAGCCCAAUUGUGAGUAGAGAACAAUAUUUUUUUAUAUCAGAGUAUGUAUCCUUCAUCUGAUGUAUUAUCCAAGAUUUCUCAAGAUUAUUCUGCUAGUCCCGAUAAAUUGCUGUUGAUUUUUUUGAUAAAUAACUUAAUUUUUUACUUUGUGUUCGUUUGAAAGAAUUAUAGAAGGUUGAAGAUGAGAUUUUGAAAAUAUAUGCUUUCUCAUUUUGUG